UCUGGAGACAGGUGCUGCAUGGCUGUCGUCAGCUCGUGUCGUGAGAUGUUGGGUUAAGUCCCGCAACGAGCGCAACCCUUGCCUUUAGUUGCCAGCAGUUCGGCUGGGCACUCUAAAGGGACUGCCGGUGUUAAACCGGAGGAAGGUGGGGAUGACGUCAAGUCCUCAUGGCCUUUAUGACCAGGGCUACACACGUACUACAAUGGCCGAUACAAAGGGCAGCGACACUGCGAGGUGAAGCCAAAUCCCGUAAAAUCCGGUCUCAGUCCGGAUUGGAGUCUGCAACUCGACUCCAUGAAGUUGGAAUCGCUAGUAAUCGUGGAUCAGCAUGCCACGGUGAAUACGUUCCCGGGCCUU
This 357-nucleotide ribosomal RNA is filed under the name uncultured Desulfobulbus sp. Its description in RNAcentral is "bacterial SSU rRNA". It matches the Rfam family "Bacterial small subunit ribosomal RNA", at positions 1027 to 1382 of the family's 1533-position model. Lineage: Bacteria; Pseudomonadati; Thermodesulfobacteriota; Desulfobulbia; Desulfobulbales; Desulfobulbaceae. The record is from RNAcentral.